Molecule: ribosomal RNA, 459 nt
Filed under: uncultured bacterium
Lineage: Bacteria
Description: partial 16S ribosomal RNA
Rfam family: Bacterial small subunit ribosomal RNA
Source: RNAcentral
CCUACGGGAGGCAGCAGUGAGGAAUAUUGGUCAAUGGGCGGGAGCCUGAACCAGCCAAGUCGCGUGAGGGACGAAGGUCCUGUGGAUUGUAAACCUCUUUUGUCAGGGAACAAAGACGGCCACGCGUCCGCGGAUGAGUGUACCUGAAGAAAAAGCAUCGGCUAACUCCGUGCCAGCAGCCGCGGUAAUACGGAGGAUGCGAGCGUUAUCCGGAUUUAUUGGGUUUAAGGGGUGCGAAGGCGGUCAGUAAAGUCAGCGGUAAAAGUGCGGGGCUCAACCCCGUACAGCCGUUGAAACUGGCAGUCUUGAGUUGGCGAGAAGUAUGCGGAAUGCGCGGUGUAGCGGUGAAAUGCAUAGAUAUCGCGCAGAACUCCGAUUGCGAAGGCAGCAUACCGGCUCCCUACUGACGCUGAGGCACGAAAGCGUGGGUAUCGAACAGGAUUAGAUACCCGUGUAGUC